Molecule: ribosomal RNA, 616 nt
Filed under: Hansenula anomala
Lineage: Eukaryota; Fungi; Ascomycota; Saccharomycetes; Phaffomycetales; Wickerhamomycetaceae
Also listed under: 1 other name
Description: eukaryotic LSU rRNA
Rfam family: Eukaryotic large subunit ribosomal RNA
Source: RNAcentral
GCAUAUCAAUAAGCGGAGGAAAAGAAACCAACAGGGAUUGCCUCAGUAACGGCGAGUGAAGCGGCAAAAGCUCAAAUUUGAAAUCUAGCACCUUCGGUGUUCGAGUUGUAAUUUGAAGAUGGUAACCUUGGGUUUGGCUCUUGUCUAUGUUCCUUGGAACAGGACGUCAUAGAGGGUGAGAAUCCCGUCUGAUGAGAUGCCCAUUCCUAUGUAAGGUGCUAUCGAAGAGUCGAGUUGUUUGGGAAUGCAGCUCUAAGUGGGUGGUAAAUUCCAUCUAAAGCUAAAUAUUGGCGAGAGACCGAUAGCGAACAAGUACAGUGAUGGAAAGAUGAAAAGAACUUUGAAAAGAGAGUGAAAAAGUACGUGAAAUUGUUGAAAGGGAAGGGCAUUAGAUCAGACUUGGUGUUUUACGAUUAUCUUCUCUUCUUGAGUUGUGCACUCGUAUUUCACUGGGCCAGCAUCGAUUCGGAUGGCAAGAUAAUGGCAGUUGAAUGUGGCUUCACUUCGGUGGAGUGUUAUAGCUUCUGCUGAUAUUGCCUGUCUGGAUCGAGGGCUGCGUCUUUUGACUAGGAUGCUGGCGUAAUGAUCUAAUGCCGCCCGUCUUGAAACACGGACC